GGGGGGCAACCCCCUGACUGAGUGGCGAAAGGGGCAGUAAGGCGUGGGUAACCUACCCCCGGGACCGGCACAGCUCUCCUAACGGGGAGGUAAUACCGGGCAACGUGACUGCGGGGCAUCUCGCGGUCACCAGAUGAAUCUCGCCCGGGGAGGGGCUCACGUGAUAUUAGCUAGUUGGCGGGGUAACGGCCCACCAAGGCGAAGAUGUCUAGCGGGUGUGCGAGCACGACCCGCGCCACUGGCACUGAGACACUGGCCAGACUCCUACGGGAGGCUGCAGUCGAGGAUCUUCGGCAAUGGGCGCAAGCCUGACCGAGCGACGCCGCGUGUGCGACGAAGGCCUUCGGGUUGUAAAGCACUGUCGAGGGGGAGGAAAGCCGCAAGGCCUGACCUAUCCCUGGAGGAAGCACGGGCUAAGUUCGUGCCAGCAGCCGCGGUAAGACGAACCGUGCGAACGUU
This 459-nucleotide ribosomal RNA is filed under the name uncultured bacterium. RNAcentral's name for it is "bacterial SSU rRNA". It matches the Rfam family "Bacterial small subunit ribosomal RNA", at positions 74 to 542 of the family's 1533-position model. The record is from RNAcentral.